CACCCGGGUAAGUGCCACGCGACGAGCUCCCCGCGAAUCCCCCAGGUCUUGACCGAAGCAAGGGUAACGGGUUGAGCAUGUGUGAUGUGGAGAGCUUACCCACC
RNAcentral lists this signal recognition particle RNA (104 nucleotides) under human gut metagenome. RNAcentral's name for it is "Bacteroidales small SRP". It matches the Rfam family "Bacteroidales small SRP". From Rfam's summary of the family: The non-coding component of the signal recognition particle in Bacteroides The record is from RNAcentral.